AGCUCGUUAGUAACGAUGUUGUUCAAGUUCCU
This 32-nucleotide unclassified non-coding RNA is filed under the name Desulfonema ishimotonii. RNAcentral describes it as "Target RNA-1 (25-MER) from Desulfonema ishimotonii (PDB 7YNA, chain C)". Lineage: Bacteria; Pseudomonadati; Thermodesulfobacteriota; Desulfobacteria; Desulfobacterales; Desulfococcaceae. The record is from RNAcentral.